This 217-nucleotide long non-coding RNA is filed under the name Phaseolus vulgaris (common bean). RNAcentral describes it as "long non-coding RNA (PVUL_LNC001629)". Lineage: Eukaryota; Viridiplantae; Streptophyta; Magnoliopsida; Fabales; Fabaceae. The record is from RNAcentral.
UAAUAGGAGUAGAGUGUGCUUAGCAAUUUGAGUAGGGUAUGCUCAGUAAUUUGGGCUUGUGCCAAACCCACCUUUCAUGACAAGUGCUUCUAGGUUUAGGGUUUUUUUGACCUACCUUCUAGAAGGAUUCUCACAAAUGACAUCCCUACCCCUCUAACUUAUUCUCCAAGACACUCUUUCCUAUAAGCCUCAUGUAUUUCACACAUUGAAUUUGGAU